RNAcentral lists this ribosomal RNA (442 nucleotides) under uncultured bacterium. RNAcentral's name for it is "partial 16S ribosomal RNA". It matches the Rfam family "Bacterial small subunit ribosomal RNA", at positions 338 to 795 of the family's 1533-position model. The record is from RNAcentral.
CCUACGGGAGGCAGCAGUAGGGAAUCUUUCACAAUGGGCGAAAGCCUGAUGGAGCAACGCCGCGUGCAGGAUGAAGGCCUUCGGGUUGUAAACUGCUUUUAUAAGCGAGAAAUAUGAUGGUAACUUAUGAAUAAGGAUCGGCUAACUACGUGCCAGCAGCCGCGGUCAUACGUAGGAUCCGAGCAUUAUCCGGAGUGACUGGGUGUAAAGAGUUGCGUAGGUUGCAUAAUAAGUAGCUAGUGAAAUCUGGUGGCUCAACCAUUCAGACUAUUAGCUAAACUGUUAAGCUCGAGACCGUUAGGAGUAACUGGAAUUUCUAGUGUAGGAGUGAAAUCCGUAGAUAUUAGAAGGAACACCAAUAGCGUAGGCAGGUUGCUGGGACGGUUCUGACACUAAGGCACGAAAGCGUAGGGAGCAAACGGGAUUAGAUACCCGUGUAGUC